Molecule: ribosomal RNA, 377 nt
Filed under: uncultured bacterium
Lineage: Bacteria
Description: bacterial SSU rRNA
Rfam family: Bacterial small subunit ribosomal RNA
Source: RNAcentral
UAAUACAGAGGUCCCGAGCGUUGUUCGGAUUCACUGGGCGUAAAGGGUGCGUAGGUGGCGUGGUAAGUUUGAUGUGAAAGCUCAGGGCUUAACCCUGAAAUGGCAUUGAAUACUACUAUGCUGGAGGUUUGGAGGGGGGACUGGAAUUCUUGGUGUAGCAGUGAAAUGCGUAGAUAUCAAGAGGAACACCAGUGGCGAAGGCGAGUCCCUGGACAACACCUGACACUGAGGCACGAAAGCUAGGGGAGCAAACAGGAUUAGAUACCCUGGUAGUCCUAGCCCUAAACGGUGCACGCUUGCUGUAAGAGGAAUCGACCCCUCUUGUGGCGAAGCUAACGCGAUAAGCGUGCCGCCUGGGGAGUACGGUCGCAAGAUUA